RNAcentral lists this ribosomal RNA (372 nucleotides) under uncultured organism. Its description in RNAcentral is "bacterial SSU rRNA". It matches the Rfam family "Bacterial small subunit ribosomal RNA", at positions 527 to 896 of the family's 1533-position model. The record is from RNAcentral.
CGGGGGAGCAAGCGUUGUUCGGAUUUACUGGGCGUAAAGGGCGCGUAGGCGGCGCAACAAGUCACUUGUGAAAUCUCCGGGCUUAACCCGGAGCGGCCAAGUGAUACUGCCGUGCUAGAGUGCGGAAGGGGCUACUGGAAUUCUCGGUGUAGCGGUGAAAUGCGUAGAUAUUGAGAGGAACACCUGCGGCGAAGGCGGGUAGCUGGGCCGACACUGACGCUGAGGCGCGAAAGCCAGGGGAGCGAACGGGAUUAGAUACCCCGGUAGUCCUGGCCUUAAACGAUGGAUACUUGGUGUCCGGGGUUACAUAGUCCCCGGGUGCCGGCGCUAACGCAUUAAGUAUCCCGCCUGGGGAGUACGGUCGCAAGACUG